Molecule: long non-coding RNA, 714 nt
Filed under: Anser brachyrhynchus (Pink-footed goose)
Lineage: Eukaryota; Metazoa; Chordata; Aves; Anseriformes; Anatidae
Description: lncRNA (ENSABRG00000008648.1)
Source: RNAcentral
UGGGUGACAAAAAUUGAUCUGAAAAUACCAAUUGCAACCAGCUAAAGUUUGUUGCAUCUCUGUUGUUUCUGUGGUACGAUGACAGGCCACCUACUUGAUUUACAUCAGCUUACUUGGAGAAAGCAAUCGACUGUCAGAGAAGGAUAGUUAUUUAAAUGAGCUGAUUUUUAAAGAUUAAGUCAAGGCAGGAAAUUGCCAGAAAGCGUCAGUGAAAAGCAGGGAAAUUCAGGUAAUCUGCACCACCAGACAGACGGUGAUCUGAGCUUAUUGUGAGCUCAUCUCCCAUCGUGUGUGGGGCCGUGAUGGACCAGAAUGGCUCAGGUGCAGAUGCAACAAGAGCACAAAACCUUCCCCAGUCAGAACAGAAAAUGAACUCGUUGAAAAUAUGCUCUGCAGCAACAAUUGGGCUGAGCAAGUUCUCCCCACCCUGCUGUGGUUAAAUGCACGGGGACCUUCAGCUACGCGUGCGUGGCUUCACCUGCAGCAGCUCCCAGGACAGGCUGGCUCAGCUCCUGAGAGCAAGGACAGCAGUUCCUUCAGACAGGCAUGUGGUGGCAAGAUCUGGGGUUCGGUUUCCUCGUCCUACACAAAGAAAGCUUCUUGAGUUCGGACUCCUAGCCACUACCGGUAGGUCCUGCCUUGCUCAGCUGUCGUCGUCUCAGUGUGGUUUCGCCAGGUGGGGUGGGAAGGUGGGUGGGAGGGGAGGAGCUGGAG